CCUACGGGAGGCAGCAGUAGGGAAUCUUCCACAAUGGACGAAAGUCUGAUGGAGCAACGCCGCGUGAGCGAAGAAGGCCUUCGGGUCGUAAAGCUCUGUUGUCAGGGAAGAACAAGUAUCGGAGUAACUGCCGGUACCUUGACGGUACCUGACCAGAAAGCCACGGCUAACUACGUGCCAGCAGCCGCGGUAAUACGUAGGUGGCAAGCGUUGUCCGGAAUUAUUGGGCGUAAAGCGCGCGCAGGCGGUCCUUUAAGUCUGAUGUGAAAGCCCACGGCUCAACCGUGGAGGGUCAUUGGAAACUGGGGGACUUGAGUGCAGAAGAGGAAAGCGGAAUUCCACGUGUAGCGGUGAAAUGCGUAGAGAUGUGGAGGAACACCAGUGGCGAAGGCGGCUUUCUGGUCUGUAACUGACGCUGAGGCGCGAAAGCGUGGGGAGCAAACAGGAUUAGAUACCUUGGUAGUCCACGCCGUAAACGAUGAGUGCUAAGUGUUAGAGGGUUUCCGCCCUUUAGUGCUGCAGCUAACGCAUUAAGCACUCCGCCUGGGGAGUACGGCCGCAAGGCUGAAACUCAAAGGAAUUGACGGGGGCCCGCACAAGCGGUGGAGCAUGUGGUUUAAUUCGAAGCAACGCGAAGAACCUUAC
Molecule: ribosomal RNA, 645 nt
Filed under: bacterium HN2-10-42
Lineage: Bacteria
Description: bacterial SSU rRNA
Rfam family: Bacterial small subunit ribosomal RNA
Source: RNAcentral